UAACGUCUUGAGGUGUACCGGGAGUUCC
Molecule: small RNA, 28 nt
Filed under: Bombyx mori (domestic silkworm)
Lineage: Eukaryota; Metazoa; Arthropoda; Insecta; Lepidoptera; Bombycidae
Description: ovarian small RNA-18908
Source: RNAcentral